This 1372-nucleotide ribosomal RNA is filed under the name uncultured bacterium. RNAcentral describes it as "bacterial SSU rRNA". It matches the Rfam family "Bacterial small subunit ribosomal RNA", at positions 28 to 1381 of the family's 1533-position model. The record is from RNAcentral.
GAUGAACGCUGGCGGCGUGCCUAAUACAUGCAAGUCGAGCGAACGGACGAGAAGCUUGCUUCUCUGAUGUUAGCGGCGGACGGGUGAGUAACACGUGGAUAACCUACCUAUAAGACUGGGAUAACUUCGGGAAACCGGAGCUAAUACCGGAUAAUAUUUUGAACCGCAUGGUUCAAAAGUGAAAGACGGUCUUGCUGUCACUUAUAGAUGGAUCCGCGCUGCAUUAGCUAGUUGGUAAGGUAACGGCUUACCAAGGCAACGAUGCAUAGCCGACCUGAGAGGGUGAUCGGCCACACUGGAACUGAGACACGGUCCAGACUCCUACGGGAGGCAGCAGUAGGGAAUCUUCCGCAAUGGGCGAAAGCCUGACGGAGCAACGCCGCGUGAGUGAUGAAGGUCUUCGGAUCGUAAAACUCUGUUAUUAGGGAAGAACAUAUGUGUAAGUAACUGUGCACAUCUUGACGGUACCUAAUCAGAAAGCCACGGCUAACUACGUGCCAGCAGCCGCGGUAAUACGUAGGUGGCAAGCGUUAUCCGGAAUUAUUGGGCGUAAAGCGCGCGUAGGCGGUUUUUUAAGUCUGAUGUGAAAGCCCACGGCUCAACCGUGGAGGGUCAUUGGAAACUGGAAAACUUGAGUGCAGAAGAGGAAAGUGGAAUUCCAUGUGUAGCGGUGAAAUGCGCAGAGAUAUGGAGGAACACCAGUGGCGAAGGCGACUUUCUGGUCUGUAACUGACGCUGAUGUGCGAAAGCGUGGGGAUUAAACAGGAUUAGAUACCCUGGUAGUCCACGCCGUAAACGAUGAGUGCUAAGUGUUAGGGGGUUUCCGCCCCUUAGUGCUGCAGCUAACGCAUUAAGCACUCCGCCUGGGGAGUACGACCGCAAGGUUGAAACUCAAAGGAAUUGACGGGGACCCGCACAAGCGGUGGAGCAUGUGGUUUAAUUCGAAGCAACGCGAAGAACCUUACCAAAUCUUGACAUCCUUUGACAACUCUAGAGAUAGAGCUUUCCCCUUCGGGGGACAAAGUGACAGGUGGUGCAUGGUUGUCGUCAGCUCGUGUCGUGAGAUGUUGGGUUAAGUCCCGCAACGAGCGCAACCCUUAAGCUUAGUUGCCAUCAUUAAGUUGGGCACUCUAAGUUGACUGCCGGUGACAAACCGGAGGAAGGUGGGGAUGACGUCAAAUCGUCAUGCCCCUUAUGAUUUGGGCUACACACGUGCUACAAUGGACAAUACAAAGGGCAGCGAAACCGUGAGGUCAAGCAAAUCCCAUAAAGUUGUUCUCAGUUCGGAUUGUAAUCUGCAACUCGACUACAUGAAGCUGGAAUCGCUAGUAAUCGUAGAUCAGCAUGCUACGGUGAAUACGUUCCCGGGUCU